UCGAGAAUCAUUCACAAUGGGCGAAAGCCUGAUGGUGUGACGCCGCGUGGAGGAUUAAGGUCUUCGGAUUGUAAACUCCUGUCAAGUGAGAGUAAAUUUGCGCGUUAACUGCGUCGCAAACUGAGAGUAUCACUAGAGGAAGAGACGGCUAACUCUGUGCCAGCAGCCGCGGUAAUACAGAGGUCUCAAGCGUUGUUCGGAAUCACUGGGCGUAAAGGGUGCGUAGGCUGUGUUGUAAGUCAGAGGUGAA
Molecule: ribosomal RNA, 250 nt
Filed under: uncultured bacterium
Lineage: Bacteria
Description: partial 16S ribosomal RNA
Rfam family: Bacterial small subunit ribosomal RNA
Source: RNAcentral